GGUAAAUGUAAAUUGUCCGGUGGCAAUUUUUAUGAAUUGUUCAGCAGUCUAAUGGCUUGGGGAUAGAAGCUGUUAUUGCAGGAAAUGUCUUGAACAGCAGGAAAUGCAAACUUGUAGUGUAUUCAAGGUUUUAAAAGACUUCUAAAGUUUGUAAUUUCCACUUUAAAAUGUCAGACUUGAUUUGCCCAAGCAAAAAAAAUGUAGAGUAAUUAUAAUCCACAUUUCCUGUUGCUGCAUGAUUAUUUUCCUGCUGUAGCAAACUGACUGGAAUUAAGAUACGGCAUCUGUAUGAUAUUUCAACUUCCUUCUAGUUUCACCAGUAUUAUAAUUCUUACAGGCUUCCUUUCUAGGGAAAAACAGAACAAUGUCUGACCCGUUGACUCAGUGUUCUUGGCAGUGCUCUUUCUGGACAGAAAAACUAAUCCAAAAGACAUUUUUAAAACGUCAUCGCAGGACCUGACCGUAUCAGCAGACUAUUAGGCUGCUCGUCUUGGGGUUUGUCACCAAGGUCUGCGUCCUAUAUGACACCCUGUUACCUAAAAUAGUAAAACAGGAAAUGAUUACCCUGUAUUUGAUUCACUGUUGAUAUGGAUUGAUAUUUAAUAAACAUUAUAAACUGGGUGGAUCGAGCCCUGAAUGCCGAUUGGCUGACAGCCGUGGUAUAUCAUACUACGGGUAUGACAAAACGUGUGUUUUUACUGCUCUAAUCAUGUUGGUAACCAGUUUAUUAUAGCAAUAAGGCACCUCGGGGGUUAGUGGUAUAUUGGCUAUAUACCACACCCCCUCGUGCCUUAUUGCUUAGUUAUUGUAUGUACAGGGAGACACAGACCGAUGCAUUCGCUUAGGGGAAGGGAAGCAGCAGUUAACCAUGUCACCUGUUAGUCUAUAAUUCUCUAUUGUAACUAAGUGCUGAUGUUUCUACCUUUGACCUGUUUAACUGACACUAUCAAAAUGUCUGCCAGUGUUAUGGUUAAAGUUUGGCUCCAGACCGGGGACACUGAUAACGUCUCUGUAACACCGUGUGAUUCUGGAGAGGCUGACGUUGUGACUUCCUAUAGCCUCUCUGGCUGCUGUUUCCAUAACAUGUUGGUGCUGUGUGAUUUAUAUUUAUAUAUAUAUAUAAGAGAUUUUCUCAGAAAAGGCCCCGUUAAGACAUUUGCUCUGCUUCUGAUCUGGAGGCGUUUCCCUGUUGCAACUUGUAAUAAAAACAGGAAUCAUUUUUUUUUGUUAUUGAUGUUAUCAACUGCUCUCCUUUUUUAAUCAUCUGGAAAUCCCCUUUAAAAUAGUGCACUACUUUUAACUGAAACCCUAUGGGUCCUAGCUGGUCAAAUUAAGUGCACUAGAUAGGGAAUAGGAUGGCAUUUGGGACUCUAAAUGUCAGAGACAAGAAGCAGAGAAGGUCAAACUAGCAGAAGGUCUGUGACUGCUUCCUGCCCGUGAUGAUUAAAGGACAAAAUGCUGCUAUUCCCAUUCCUCCCCACUUCUUAGAACGAGAUAAAGAGAGAGAAAAUAACAGAGAGAGAGAGAGAAAAAGAAAUAGAGAAGAAAGAAAGAAUUAAACAACAAAGCAAAAUGCUUUUAAAAUGCCAAUGAGGAUGAGGUGGUACAGCCUAUAGAUUCUACAGGAGGUAAAGGAUGAGGUGGUACAGCCUAUAGAUUCUACAGGAGGUAAAGGAGGAGGUGAUACAGCCUAUAGAUUCUACAGGAGGUAAAGGAUGAGGUGGUACAGCCUAUAGAUUCUACAGGAGGUAAAGGAGGAGGUGGUACAGCCUAUAGAUUCUACAGGAGGUAAAGGAGGAGGUGGUACAGCCUAUAGAUUCUACAGGAGGUAAAGGAGGUAAAGGAUGAGGUGAUACAGCCUAUAGAUUCUACAGGAGGUAAGGAUGAGGUGGUACAGCCUAUAGAUUCUACAGGAGGUAAAGGAGGAGGUACAGCCUAUAGAUUCUACAGUAGGUAAAGGAUGAGGUGGUACAGCAUAUAGAUUCUACAGGAGGUAAAGGAUGAGGUGGUACAGCCUAUAGAUUCUACAGGAGGUAAAGGAUGAGGUGGUACAGCCCAUAGAUUCUACAGUAGGUAAAGGAGGAGGUGGUACAGCCUAUAGAUUAUACAGGAGGUAAAGGAGGUAAAGGAUGAGGUGAUACAGCCUAUAGAUUCUACAGGAGGUAAAGGAGGUAAAGGAUGAGGUGGUACAGUCUAUAGAUUCUACAGGAGGUAAAGGAGGUAAAGGAUGAGGUGAUAGAGCCUAUAGAUUCUACAGUAGGUAAAGGAGGUAAAGGAUGAGGUGGUACAGCCUAUAGAUUCUACAGGAGGUAAAGGAUGAGGUGGUACAGCCUAUAGAUUCUACAGGAGGUAAAGGAUGAGGUGGUACAGCCUAUAGAUUCUACAGGAGGUAAAGGAUGAGGUGGUACAGCCUAUAGAUUCUACAGGAGGUAAAGGAUGAGGUGGUACAGCCUAUAGAUUCUACAGUAGGUAAAGGAUGAGGUGGUACAGCCUAUAGAUUCUACAGUAGGUAAAGGAGGUAAAGGAUGAGGUGGUACAGCCUAUAGAUUCUACAGUAUGUAAAGGAUGAGGUGGUACAGCCUAUAGAUUCUACAGUAGGUAAAGGAGGUAAAGGAUGAGGUGGUACAGCCUAUACAUUCUACAGUAGGUAAAGGAGGUAAAGGAUGAGGUGGUACAGCCUAUAGAUUCUACAGUAGGUAAAGGAAAUGAGGUGGUACAGCCUAUAGAUUCUACAGUAGGUAAAGGAGGUAAAGGACGAGGUGGUACAGCCUAUAGAUUCUACAGGAGGUCAAGGACGAGGUGGUACAGCCUAUAGAUUCUACAGUAGGUAAAGGAGGUAAAGGAUGAGGUGGUACAGCCUAUAGAUUCUACAGGAGGUAAAGGAUGAGGUGGUACAGCCUAUAGAUUCUACAGGAGGUAAAGG
RNAcentral lists this long non-coding RNA (2923 nucleotides) under Salmo salar (Atlantic salmon). RNAcentral's name for it is "lncRNA (ENSSSAG00000107798.1)". Lineage: Eukaryota; Metazoa; Chordata; Actinopteri; Salmoniformes; Salmonidae. The record is from RNAcentral.